GGCGGCGUAGCCAAGUGGUAAGGCAAAGCUCUGCAAAAGCUUUAUUCGUCGGUUCGAUUCCGACCGCCGCCUCCA
RNAcentral lists this transfer RNA (75 nucleotides) under Acidobacteriota bacterium. RNAcentral describes it as "tRNA-Cys". It matches the Rfam family "tRNA". Rfam says of the family: Transfer RNA (tRNA) molecules are approximately 80 nucleotides in length. The record is from RNAcentral. Lineage: Bacteria; Pseudomonadati; Acidobacteriota.